RNAcentral lists this long non-coding RNA (1090 nucleotides) under Ananas comosus (pineapple). Its description in RNAcentral is "long non-coding RNA (ACOM_LNC038293)". Lineage: Eukaryota; Viridiplantae; Streptophyta; Magnoliopsida; Poales; Bromeliaceae. The record is from RNAcentral.
UACUUUUGAAGCCUAUAUAUAGAGGGCUUCUCUAUACUUCAAUAUAACAUAAAAAAAGAAAACUACAAUAUCUAUAUUCUACUUGAGAGAGAGAAGGUCAAAGAAAGAUAUUUAUUUUGGUGGAGCUUUGGGCUCAUCUACUUGUGCAGAGUUGGUGAAGCCACACGACGAGGGUCGAGCCGUUGAAUCCUGGAAGGGACAAGUCAGUACUCUGCUGCAUCGGUUCAGAGGCUUUGCCAACCGCAGAGGGCUUGAAUCUCCUUAAAGACAGCGAGAUAUCCGUGCCUCGGCUUGAUCGACUCGUUGAUAUUUUUUAAAUUAUUUUGUAGCUAACCUCUAUUUUUUGAAUAUUUACACCAACAGUCUGUAAUUUUACUUUUUCAAAAAAUUGUAAUCGACUUUGUCCCGAACGGUGACAAAGCAAAUUACAGAAGAAAAAAUGAUAAAAAUAAUAAAAAAUAACUAUCAUAAUUUCUUUUUUACCCUCUUAUGUAAUAAUGCAUAAAAUUUUCAUAAUAACAUACAAAGAAAAUGGAACAACUACAAUUUCCGAUUUAUUAACUUUAUAUUAAAUAGAUAAUAAAAAAUAAUUUAUACUAGAGUUUAAGUAAAAAUAAUUUUUAUGUUAGAAUUUAGUUACGCGGUUACGUCAAAUAAACAGUUCUAAGAAAUUUUUUUCAUAUUUUCUCAUUUUAAUACUCCGUAAUUUAAAGUGUAUCACUUUCGUACCUUAUGUAUAUAUAUAUUUUUUGUUAUUUUUUUUACUAAUUUUUUUCGUUAAAUCAGUGACAAAGUUAAAACUAGAGAGUACUAAAAUAAAUAUUCGAUAAACUAUAGAUAGGAUAUCUGAAGUUUUUUAUAUAUGAUUUAAUAAAAAGUUAACAAAGGACCGAUAAAAAAAGAAAAAUAAAACUACACAAUACUAAAUUGAUACAUUUUAAACCAUAGUAUAUUAAAAUGAAAUAGUGUGAAACUACAAGAAAGGUACUUGAAAAAAAAAUAUUUAUUUUGGUUUGGUUUCACUUCUUUUUGUUUUGUUUUUGUUUUUGUUGUUUCCAAAUAAAUUUUUGAAAUGACUAAAUAUUUGGGA